GUCCCUGUGGCGCAAUGAAUAACGAGUUGGACUUCUGAUCCGAAAGUUGUGAGUUUGAAUUUCACCUGGGAUG
This is a non-coding RNA of Trichonephila clavipes, 73 nucleotides long. NCBI's taxonomy places the organism in Eukaryota, Metazoa, Arthropoda, Arachnida, Araneae, Nephilidae. The record is from the annotation of a GenBank genome assembly.